Molecule: long non-coding RNA, 898 nt
Organism: Uranotaenia lowii
Lineage: Eukaryota; Metazoa; Arthropoda; Insecta; Diptera; Culicidae
Exons: 3
Source: RefSeq, a predicted model, not a curated record
UAAGAUAAAUGAACAAUGAAUUUCAAUCUAACAAUCAAUUUCACCGUAGUUUCUAAAUAUAUUUCAACCGACAGAUGCACGGUUUCACAAUAAUUUUCUUGUGAUUAUUAUUGUUACAGUGUAAUUCAUAGUAAAAUUACAAUCCAAACCAAAACGAACAAUGGUAAACUUCUCGUUUUUUACACAUUCUCAAAUGAGCGUGUAUAGAGAUUUAUUUUAAAGAGCAGCCAUUUUGAAAAACAAUUUUAUCGCGGGCAAUUUGUUUUGGUUACCAGCAGCGAUUGCAAAAUAUCUUGAAUGAUGCUGUCCCACGGCUCCUUUCACAUGCAGGCUUUUGAAAAAGCUCCCGAUAAAGUUCCCACUGCACACAAAACUUUCGGGGAUCUACUUAGCAAAAUUUCACUGUUGCUUUUCGUUAGCAAAAAAAAUUUUUUACCGUUGAGUUAGCAAAAAGCUAAAUUUACUUGAUUUUAGCAGUAUGAAAGUUCAUCUUGCUUGAUUUUAGUAAAAUGAAGGACUUCUAGCCGCUUUGCGUACAGACAGCAGCCGCCGCGGGUAGGGAGAAGAAAAAAAAAACAAACAGAGACGAUUGAGCGCGGUUAAAGCGCUGCUAGUGGUUCAAAAGGUGGCUUAGUCAACAACAAAAUACUGGCCAAAUCGACACCGGAAGCGAACAGAGGUUAAAUCUGCAACAAGAAACCCGCAACAGUCUGGAAAUGAAGAGGGACCACGACUGAAAAUUCAACGAGCUUCAUUCAGACACACACCCGGUGCAUUUGCUUGGCACUUCGCUCGCCGGAAAGUGCGUUCCCAGGACUUCUAUUUUACAAAAUGUGUAAAAUUGAAAAAAAAGUGAAAAAUAAAUCAAAAUUGAAUGAAAGUUGAGUAUUCUAUUAUA